RNAcentral lists this ribosomal RNA (433 nucleotides) under uncultured bacterium. RNAcentral describes it as "partial 16S ribosomal RNA". It matches the Rfam family "Bacterial small subunit ribosomal RNA", at positions 29 to 507 of the family's 1533-position model. The record is from RNAcentral.
AACGAACGCUGGCGGCAUGCCUAACACAUGCAAGUCGAACGAGACCUUCGGGUCUAGUGGCGCACGGGUGCGUAACGCGUGGGAACCUGCCCUUAGGUUCGGAAUAACUCCCCGAAAGGGGUGCUAAUACCGGAUAAUGUCUUCGGACCAAAGAUUUAUCGCCUUUGGAUGGGCCCGCGUUGGAUUAGCUAGUUGGUAGGGUAAAAGCCUACCAAGGCGACGAUCCAUAGCUGGGCUGAGAGGAUGAUCAGCCACACUGGGACUGAGACACGGCCCAGACUCCUACGGGAGGCAGCAGUGGGGAAUAGUGGACAAUGGGCGAAAGCCUGAACCAGCAAUGCCGCGUGAGUGAUGAAGGCCGUAGGGUUGUAAAGCUCUUUUACCCGGGAUGAUAAUGACAGUACCGGGAGAAUAAGCUCCGGCUAACUCCGUG